This 1174-nucleotide long non-coding RNA is filed under the name Homo sapiens (human). RNAcentral's name for it is "PREDICTED lncRNA (TCONS_00161864)". The record is from RNAcentral. Lineage: Eukaryota; Metazoa; Chordata; Mammalia; Primates; Hominidae.
GCUAAAUUUUCCUUUGAUUUUAAGUUACCAACUGAUAGAGUACAAAAGUGAUAACUUUCUGAAUAUUGUUGCUGUAAACAAGCAUAUAUUCAGUUCCUCCUGUGUGAAAAGAAGCCAAAUGUAAUGAUUGUGGUCUUAUUCAGCGACAAAGUGCUGAUGAUAUUAUUUCCAUAGACAGUACAAUUCUGCAGCUGGCUCUGUCAGUCUAGGAAGAGAGCUCACUAAAUAAAGACCAUGAAGUAAUUUGCAAUUCAGGGGCAGCAUUUUAAAGGAAAUGAGCUGAAAGUCUACUCAUUAAAGUCAAAGGAAACCUUGUGCUUUUUUUUCUUUUCAAUAUAUUUGUUUCUUCAAAGUGUAGCUAUACCAGCUUGCAUAGCCCAUAUUGGGAAUUCAGAAAAAGGUGACACUGUUAAAAAUUUUACUUUACUUUUUGGAGAAGUUCCUUGGAGAUAGAUCUUUUGGGGUAAAAAAAUUAUUUGGGUGUCUGGAAUUUAAACCUACGUUGCUCGUUUCAUUUCAGACAUAUAAGAAAUGAGUUUCAGAGGCAUUUGUUAGUUGUCUGUUUCCUCGCAGUGUAAGACUGUCAAGCAUAUAAAUGCAGGAGCCCCAGUGGCCUGAAAGCAGUCAAGAGUUCCUACCCUCCUUGGCUCAAUGGAAACGCAAGUGAACUAUACAGCGUUCAAUGGACCAAUCAACAGGGCAAAAAUCAGUCCUCCCAGUCUUGAAGAGAUUAACUGAGAGUCUCGCACCUCUUAAAGGAUUGAAUAGGAAACAUUUGCCAUCUAUGGUCUGAAAGGCCUGCCACCUAUAGACUACUGGAAACUGCCUGCUUCACUGCAUAGUAAGAACCUUGGAGCCACAACCCCUUAUCUUAACCCAGACACUCCUUUCUAUUGAUCCCAGGUUUUUAGAUAAUAACUUAACUCUCAGCCAAUCAGAAAAUCUUUGAAUCCACCUGUGACCUGUAAGUCCCCACCCUUCAAAUUGUCCUGCCUUUUGGGACUUAACCAAUGUAUACCUCACAUGUAUUGAUUGAUGUCUUUUGUCUCCCUAAGACAUAUAAAACCAAGCUGCAACCCAACCACCUUGGGCACAUGUUCUCAGGACCUCUUGAGACAGUGCUGUGGGCCAUGGUCACUCAUAUUUGGCUCAAAAUAAAACUCUUCAAAUAUUU